Mastomys coucha (southern multimammate mouse) is the source of this 699-nucleotide long non-coding RNA. RefSeq lists it as uncharacterized. The transcript has 3 exons. The record is from RefSeq and is a predicted model, not a curated record. Lineage: Eukaryota; Metazoa; Chordata; Mammalia; Rodentia; Muridae.
UAUGACUAUCAGGAAUGAGUUCUCUCUCUCAGGACUGGGUUGGUUACCUCAAGAGUAGGUUGUUAUGAAGUAGGUCUGCCCCUUUUGGACACGCCCACUUCCUACCAGGAUUAAAGCAGCACAAGGCUCUCAUUGGCACCAUGCUCUUGGAAUUCCCACCAUCCAGAACCAUGAGCUAAAUAAUCUCCUUUCCUACCUUAACUACUUAGCCUUGGGCAUUCUGUGGUCGCCUCAGAAAACAAAGACACUGGCCGCAAAGGCUGCUGAACAGUGUGGCAGACAGACUGCUCUUCUGACCUCACAGCUACAAUGAGAUUUGCUGCGUGAGGAGGAUGCCAAGGAAGGAUCGGGCCAAGACAAGGGAGCUAUAAUAAAAAGCAUAGCCACUAACGGCUGCCAAGGCCAAUGUCUUGAGUAGUGUCUUCAAUGAAAGGCUGGCAGGAGACCAGAACCUGCAGCUGCUAACACCUCCGGUCUUGGAGAGCAUAUGGCUCCUACUACAGCAACCAGAGAAACCCACCACAGACACCUGCCCCGGCUUUGAAGUAGACCUCACAGUUCUGUACGGCUCUUUUGUGACCGAUCAUACAAGGGAGAAAGGAAGAGGAGAAUGAUGAUUGCUUCUUCGUGUUUGCAUGUAUGAGCUUUGUAAAAGGGCUCGUUCCUUUAGGCAAGAACGAAAACAGUUUGUAUGCACUU